This 1135-nucleotide ribosomal RNA is filed under the name uncultured bacterium. RNAcentral's name for it is "bacterial SSU rRNA". It matches the Rfam family "Bacterial small subunit ribosomal RNA", at positions 244 to 1382 of the family's 1533-position model. The record is from RNAcentral.
GCUAGUUGGCGGGGUAACGGCCCACCAAGGCAACGAUCCGUAGCGGGUCUGAGAGGAUGAUCCGCCACACUGGCACUGAGACACGGGCCAGACUCCUACGGGAGGCAGCAGUGAGGAAUAUUGCGCAAUGGAGGCAACUCUGACGCAGCCACGCCGCGUGCAGGAAGACACCCCUCAGGGGCGUAAACUGCUUUUAUACGGGAAGAACACCUGGUUCUGCCAGGUCUGACGGUACCGUACGAAUAAGGACCGGCUAACUCCGUGCCAGCAGCCGCGGUAAUACGGAGGGUCCAAGCGUUGUCCGGAAUCACUGGGUGUAAAGGGUGCGCAGGCGGGCCUAUAAGUCAGAGGUGAAAGCCACCGGCCUAACCGGUGAACUGCCUUUGAUACUGUAGGUCUUGAGUCCCGGAGAGGCUAUCGGAAUUCGUGGUGUAGCGGUGAAAUGCGUAAAUAUCACGAGGAACACCGGAUGCGUAAGCGGAUAGCUGGACGGGUACUGACGCUCAGGCACGAAAGCGCGGGGAGCGAACAGGAUUAGAUACCCUGGUAGUCCGCGCCGUAAACGAUGGACGCUCGAUGUUGCACCGCUUCAGGUGCAGUGUCUAAGCUAACGCGUUAAGCGUCCCACCUGGGGAGUACGAUCGCAAGGUUGAAACUCAAAGGAAUUGACGGGGGCCCGCACAAGCGGUGGAGCAUGUGGAUUAAUUCGAUGCAACGCGAAGAACCUUACCCAGGCUCGAACGCGGCCGGACAGCCCCUGAAAGGGGGUCUCCUUCGGGCUGGUCGCGAGGUGCUGCAUGGCUGUCGUCAGUUCGUGUCGUGAGAUGUUGGGUUAAGUCCCGCAACGAACGCAACCCCUAUCACUAGUUACCAGCGGGUUAUGCCGGGGACUCUAGCGAGACUGCCUGCGCAAGCAGUGAGGAAGGUGGGGACGACGUCAAGUCAUCAUGGCCCUUACGCCUGGGGCUUCACACGUGCUACAAUGGCCGGUACAAUGGGCUGCCACCUGGUGACAGGGCGCGAAUCCAUAAAGCCGGUCUCAGUUCGGAUCGAAGUCUGCAACUCGACUUCGUGAAGCUGGAAUCGCUAGUAAUCGCGUAUCAGCAAUGACGCGGUGAAUACGUUCCCGGGCCUU